Vulpes vulpes (red fox) is the source of this 332-nucleotide unclassified non-coding RNA. Its record names the gene 7SK. It matches the Rfam family "7SK RNA". Rfam says of the family: 7SK was discovered as an abundant small nuclear RNA in the mid-70s but a possible function has only recently been suggested. Two independent studies have found that 7SK RNA binds the CDK9/cyclin T complex (known as elongation factor P-TEFb). Lineage: Eukaryota; Metazoa; Chordata; Mammalia; Carnivora; Canidae. The record is from Ensembl.
GGAUGUGAGGGUGAUCUGGCUGUGACAUCGGUCACCCCAUUGAUUACCAGAGUUAAUUCAGCUGAUCUGGCUGGCUAAGCAGGUGUCUCCCUUCCUCCCUCACUGCUCCAUGUGCAUCCAUCUCGAAGCUGUGCACUAGGUCUAAGAGAAUGACCUUUCCCAGUAGAGGAGGGCCCGUUGUUCAGUCAAGGGUAACAAGUGACUGCGCUCCUUGCUAGAACAUCCAAACAAGCCCUCAAGGUCCAUUUGUAGAAGAACAUAGGAAUGGUCAAGCUUCUAAGACUCCAGAAACAUCCAAAUGAUGUGCCACAUGUGGCAAUCUGCCUUUCUUA